UUGAAUUUUUAUCUAGAAAGUUUAGGCACCAAAUUCAACCCGCUGAAUCUUUUUUUAAAUUUUUAUUGAAUUUCAUCUUUUUUGAUUUUUUUGACUUUUUUGACUGAUUUUUUUGCGGGAUUAAUUUUUUUAUAUUCAAUCACAGUGCCACAAAUAUGUAUGUAAAAUUUCAGAUCAAUUGGACAACGUUUACCCACUUAAAUGAAUUUUUUUGAACAAUUUUUCUGGGUAAAUCUGCUGUUUUUGCUUUAAAAAAUUGAGAUCAGUUUAGAAAUCAACCAAGAACACCCAAAACACCCAAAAUCUGAUACCAAAUGAUAC
RNAcentral lists this long non-coding RNA (321 nucleotides) under Gossypium raimondii (Peruvian cotton). Its description in RNAcentral is "long non-coding RNA (GRAI_LNC005267)". Lineage: Eukaryota; Viridiplantae; Streptophyta; Magnoliopsida; Malvales; Malvaceae. The record is from RNAcentral.